AUGUGUAGUUGCUUGUUACAUUGACAACUGUAUUUCAAGGGAUCAUUAUUGUGAUCGUCUGUAUACGAUACAAUGCAGUUAUUUAGUCUCUCUCUAGACGAUUAGGCUUUUAUUAUUAUACUAUAAACCAGAGAGUCUGACAUUUUUUUGCAAAGUGAUAGGUAAAAUUGCUCACGAUUCCGCAAUUUUAGGUAUCUUUUAUACAUAAUAAUUUGCAAGUCGCUUGCCGAGUUUGCGGAGCCCUAGUAUUACCAAGUUGGAAUUGCUGGUGUAACAAAAAAAGUCCUAUAGCUAUAGGCAUAUGUGUAAAUACUUUAUGAAAGGUGAAUACACAAUUGUUGAUCAAAACAGAACUAAAGUAAUAAAUUUUAAUUUUAUGAUGAUUAGUAUGAGAUAAGAGCCAGGGCUUUAAUUAUUCCGAGCUUUGAGCUUAGAGCUUCCAGGAAAAUCCCACAUCCUGGUAUGUGUAUGUAACAACAAAGUCAAAACUAAAGUAGUGCUCGGAGUUUAAAUUACAGAAAGACAUGACAAAGACAGGGUAGGAUCAAUUCAGCAGUAUGAACAUUAGCAGUGCAGUGUUACUUUCUUAAAUAAUGUCUAAAUUAGUCGGUCCAAUGGCUACCAGGGUAAUUCGUUACAGCUAUUGUCAGUUGUCAGUUUGUUAAAGAAAUAAAAUAAAGUAUAAAUCUAUGGUAAGCUCACUCGGUAUUAUCGCCUUUACAGUUUUCAGCUAUAGUGUGGUCUGUACCCCGUCAUAACUCCAGUUGACGUCGUUAUGAUCAAGGACAUAGCAGAUGAUGAGGCUACCCAGGCCACUAACAAUGAUGCCAGCGAGUGCAAGCAGAGCGCCGUGCAGCUUGGCUACUGGGAUGACUGUUAUAUUGGUUAUUUUAUAAAGCAUGCUAGUCGCAGGACACCAGAAAUCAAUCGAGGCUACUAUGCUAGAGUUAAGGGCAUAGAGCUUUUUCUUAACAAAUUUAUUAAGUUAUCUGGAGGCAAUGGACAAAUUAUCAAUUUAGGAGCCGGAUUUGAUACACUUUAUUGGAAACUAAAAGAUGCAAAACUUAAUCUAGUAAACUUCAUAGAACUCGAUUUUCCAAAUGUUACUGCAAAGAAAUGCUAUUAUAUAAAGAAGCACAAGCCGCUCAUCGACAGACUUAAUACGGAAGAUGGUGAGAUAAGGUUUUCUACAACAGACCUUCAUGCAGCUAAUUACCACUUGGUGGGUGCAGAUUUGAGACACGUAUCAGACCUUGCAAAUAAAUUGAAAGAAGCUGAAGUUGAUUUUACAUUACCAACGCUAUUUCUUUCAGAAUGUGUGUUAGUAUAUAUUGACUCUAAUGCUACAUCACUCCUAUUAAAGUAUUUAUCUAAAACUUUCUCUAAUAGUAUUUUUAUAAAUUAUGAGCAAGUUAAUAUGCAAAAUAAAUUUGGACAAGUUAUGCUCACUAAUUUGCGUACUCGAGGAUGUUUAUUAGCUGGAGUUGAAGAGUGUGAAUCCUUAGAGUCACAACGGAGACGUUUUACUGUAAAUGGUUGGGAAGGUGCUGAUGCUUGGACUAUGGUUGAAAUAUACGAUGUCCUACCUGAGGUUGACAAACUGCGUAUUGAGUGCAUUGAAAUGCUGGAUGAAAGAGAACUUCUCACUCAAUUACUACACAAUUACUGCAUUUCUAUCGCAUGGAAUGGGACUAUGUUCCAAAAUCUCUCUAUAUCACAAGAAAUGUCGUGAAAUUUACUCCUGCUACUGUACACCAUAGCUGUACGACUUUUUACAGUUGACAUUGAAGUUAUGUUUUCUUUUCAAAUCCAGUGACUCGACAAAAUGGUUCCGGAUAAAAGUGAUAAGAGAAUGUAAUUGUGAUGGUAUGUUGGAUAGCGCAAUAAUGACUGACCUUCUAUACAUCUAUGUAUUAAAUAAAAAUGAAAGUCAAUCCAUUGCAAUGGAGUAUUAGCGUAUUAACUUCACCUUACACCGUAAAUUUAUCGAAAAUUUAAAAUUACUUUAUUUAUAGUAAGGUGAAAAUUUAAGUUGGAAAUAAAAUUUCAUUUUUG
This 2055-nucleotide unclassified non-coding RNA is filed under the name Copidosoma floridanum. Its description in RNAcentral is "leucine carboxyl methyltransferase 1, transcript variant X3". Lineage: Eukaryota; Metazoa; Arthropoda; Insecta; Hymenoptera; Encyrtidae. The record is from RNAcentral.